This 266-nucleotide small RNA is filed under the name Arabidopsis thaliana (thale cress). RNAcentral describes it as "ATSL032170". The record is from RNAcentral. Lineage: Eukaryota; Viridiplantae; Streptophyta; Magnoliopsida; Brassicales; Brassicaceae.
CUUAAAUUUUAUACCUUCCGUAUACUUAAAGAAGGUCACUGAUGUUUAAGGUCCUGUUCUUUUGCCUGUCGCUGGCGACUGAAACCAGCGACAGCGAUCAAAAGUUGUUCGUUUGCUUGUCGCUGGUUCAGCGAUCAAAAGUAGCGACAGUCGCCAGGGACCAGCGACCGUAAUUUUUUGUCGUUAAAAUUUUUAGCGAUUAGUCGCUGCUUUUGGUCGCUGAAUCCAGCGACAUGCAAACGAACAACUUAUCGAUCAAAAAAUAU